Molecule: ribosomal RNA, 297 nt
Filed under: uncultured bacterium
Lineage: Bacteria
Description: partial 16S ribosomal RNA
Rfam family: Bacterial small subunit ribosomal RNA
Source: RNAcentral
UAGUCCGCACGAGCGCACCCUUGUCCUUAGUUGCCAUCAUUCAGUUGGGCACUCUAAGGAGACUGCCGUACAAUACCGAGGAAGGUGGGGAUGAAGUCAAAUUCUCCUGGCCCCUUUUACCUGGGGUUCCCCCCUGGUUCCAUGGGGGGUACCAAAGGGCGCGAAAUCCCCAGAGGGAGCCAAUCCCAAAAAACCGUUCUCCGUUCCGAAUGCCGGGUGCAACUCCCCUGCCUGAAGCCCGAAUCCCCUGUAAUCCCCGAACAACAUGGCGCCGUGAAAAACUUUCCCGGGCUUGUU